CUUAGUGGCGGACGGGUGAGUAACGCGUGGGUAACCUGCCUUACACAGGGGGAUAACACUUAGAAAUAGGUGCUAAUACCGCAUAAGCGCACAGUCCCGCAUGGGACAGAGUGAAAAACAUUAGUGGUGUAAGAUGGACCCGCGUCUGAUUAGCUUGUUGGCGGGGUAACGGCCCACCAAGGCGACGAUCAGUAGCCGGCCUGAGAGGGUGGACGGCCACAUUGGGACUGAGAUACGGCCCAGACUCCUACGGAAGGCAGCAG
Molecule: ribosomal RNA, 263 nt
Filed under: uncultured bacterium
Lineage: Bacteria
Description: partial 16S ribosomal RNA
Rfam family: Bacterial small subunit ribosomal RNA
Source: RNAcentral